Molecule: ribosomal RNA, 28 nt
Filed under: Globisporangium sylvaticum
Lineage: Eukaryota; Oomycota; Peronosporomycetes; Pythiales; Pythiaceae
Description: Pythium sylvaticum partial 5.8S ribosomal RNA
Source: RNAcentral
CAACUUUCAGCAGUGGAUGUCUAGGCUC